Microcebus murinus (gray mouse lemur) is the source of this 907-nucleotide long non-coding RNA. RefSeq lists it as uncharacterized. NCBI's taxonomy places the organism in Eukaryota, Metazoa, Chordata, Mammalia, Primates, Cheirogaleidae. The record is from RefSeq and is a predicted model, not a curated record.
CUGGUCCAAUGCGAGCCGAGCACAGCUGCGCGCCCGCCUAGCGUUCCGAGCCCGGAGUGAGAAGCGCUUCGGAGACUGGAGGGACGGACCUGCAGGAGCCGGGGCUGCCCGCCGAGCUGCAGUUGCCGCCGCCGCCGCUGUCAGCGCCCGUCUCAAGAGUGACAGCGCCGCACAAGCAGGAGUGAGCACCGAAGCCCGCGCCUUUACCAAACAGGUGCACGCGCCGAUCGCCUGGUGAGUGGACCCAGCUCGCAAGAUCUCAGGUAACCAUUCAUGAGCCUGAGGCUGUGAGAAAUGCUUGCUGUGCAAAGGGGAACUCUCACCAGAUUUUCUGAAGCUGUUCUAGAAAUACACUUUUCAGAUUGAUUCAGCAUAACCAGCUUAUCCAACAAAAGUAUUAUCAUAUACAUUAACAACGUCGAAAGUAGCCUAUUUUAAGAGAAAAUAUGCAGAAGAAGAAGAUUUACAUCAAGAUUACCAUGGGUAUUUUCCAAAACACCUGAUAUUACCUGAGGACAGGACUUGCAUUCUCAAACUUUCUCUGGAGAAGCUCAGGUUUCUUGAAGACCCAGAAACCUACUUAAGAAGGUCUGUGUUAAUUAACAAUUUGCUGAGGAAGAUACAUCUAGAGACGGAGAAAGAGAGCUAUGAUUACUUUAAAGAAGCUCCCUCUUAUAAGACUGCUUAUUCUGAUACAAGAAAACGGCUGAAGUUUAUGGUACAGGAAUGCUGUUCUCAGUCUCUCUAUUAUGAAGAGCUGCAUUCGUAUCAUAUUGUGCCUUAUGCUUCGGAGAAUGCCAUUUAUGGAAUGGGCUACACUAGCAGCCACUUGGAGCAAAAUUCUCAGUUGCUUAUUUAUAAAAUGAAUUAAAGUAACUGUUAAAUCCAUUGAUACUUUGUUUCUAAA